RNAcentral lists this ribosomal RNA (486 nucleotides) under uncultured bacterium. Its description in RNAcentral is "partial 16S ribosomal RNA". It matches the Rfam family "Bacterial small subunit ribosomal RNA", at positions 30 to 507 of the family's 1533-position model. The record is from RNAcentral.
AUUGAACGCUGGCGGCAUGCCUUACACAUGCAAGUCGAACGGCAGCACGGGUGCUUGCUCCUGGUGGCGAGUGGCGAACGGGUGAGUAAUACAUCGGAACAUGUCCUGUAGUGGGGGGUAGCCCGGCGAAAGCCGGAUUAAUACCGCCUACGAUCUACGUAUGAAAUCGGGGGACUUUCGGUCCCCGCGCUAUCGGUUUUGCCGUUAGCUGCUUAGCUUGUUUGUGGGGUAAAGGCCUACCAAGGCGACGAGCAGUAGCUGGUCUGAGAGGACGACCAGCCACACUGGGACUGAGACACGGCCCAGACUCCUACGGGAGGCAGCAGUGGGGAAUUUUGGACAAUGGGCGAAAGCCUGAUCCAGCAAUGCCGCGUGUGUGAAGAAGGCCUUCGGGUUGUAAAGCACUUUUGUCCGGAAAGAAAUCCUUGGCUCUAAUGCAGUCGGGGGAUGACGGUACCGGAAGAAUAAGCACCGGCUAACUACGUG